AACGAACGCUGGCGGCAGGCCUCAAACAUGCAAGUCGAGGGGGCGUAGCAAUACGUCACCGGCGGACGGGUGCGUAACACGUGGGAAUGUACCUAGUGGUUCGGAACAACGCUUGGAAACGAGUGCUAAUACCGGAUGUGCCCGAAAGGGGAAAGAUUUAUCGCCACUAGAUCAGCCCGCGCAGGAUUAGCUAGUUGGUAGGGUAAUGGCCCACCAAGGCUCCGAUCCUUAGCAGUUCUGAGAGGAAGAUCAGCCACACUGGGACUGAGACACGGCCCAGACUCCUACGGGAGGCAGCAGUUGGGAAUCUUGGACAAUGGGCGAAAGCCUGAUCCAGCCAUGCCGCGUGAGUGAUGAAGGCCUUAGGGUUGUAAAGCUCUUUUACCCGGGAAGAUAAUGACGGUACCGGGAGAAUAAGCUCCGGCUAACUUCGUGCCAGCCGCCGCAGUAA
Molecule: ribosomal RNA, 451 nt
Filed under: uncultured bacterium
Lineage: Bacteria
Description: partial 16S ribosomal RNA
Rfam family: Bacterial small subunit ribosomal RNA
Source: RNAcentral